GCACUGCUGAGGAGUCCCACAAUAGGACGAAACGGCCGUC
RNAcentral lists this non-coding RNA (40 nucleotides) under Schistosoma mattheei. The record is from RNAcentral. Lineage: Eukaryota; Metazoa; Platyhelminthes; Trematoda; Strigeidida; Schistosomatidae.